GAUGAACGCUGGCGGCGUGCCUAAUACAUGCAAGUCGAGCGAACGGACGAGAAGCUUGCUUCUCUGAUGUUAGCGGCGGACGGGUGAGUAACACGUGGAUAACCUACCUAUAAGACUGGGAUAACUUCGGGAAACCGGAGCUAAUACCGGAUAAUAUUUUGAACCGCAUGGUUCAAAAGUGAAAGACGGUCUUGCUGUCACUUAUAGAUGGAUCCGCGCUGCAUUAGCUAGUUGGUAAGGUAACGGCUUACCAAGGCAACGAUGCAUAGCCGACCUGAGAGGGUGAUCGGCCACACUGGAACUGAGACACGGUCCAGACUCCUACGGGAGGCAGCAGUAGGGAAUCUUCCGCAAUGGGCGAAAGCCUGACGGAGCAACGCCGCGUGAGUGAUGAAGGUCUUCGGAUCGUAAAACUCUGUUAUUAGGGAAGAACAUAUGUGUAAGUAACUGUGCACAUCUUGACGGUACCUAAUCAGAAAGCCACGGCUAACUACGUGCCAGCAGCCGCGGUAAUACGUAGGUGGCAAGCGUUAUCCGGAAUUAUUGGGCGUAAAGCGCGCGUAGGCGGUUUUUUAAGUCUGAUGUGAAAGCCCACGGCUCAACCGUGGAGGGUCAUUGGAAACUGGAAAACUUGAGUGCAGAAGAGGAAAGUGGAAUUCCAUGUGUAGCGGUGAAAUGCGCAGAGAUAUGGAGGAACACCAGUGGCGAAGGCGACUUUCUGGUCUGUAACUGACGCUGAUGUGCGAAAGCGUGGGGAUCAAACAGGAUUAGAUACCCUGGUAGCCCACGCCGUAAACGAUGAGUGCUAAGUGUUAGGGGGUUUCCGCCCCUUAGUGCUGCAGCUAACGCAUUAAGCACUCCGCCUGGGGAGUACGACCGCAAGGUUGAAACUCAAAGGAAUUGACGGGGACCCGCACAAGCGGUGGAGCAUGUGGUUUAAUUCGAAGCAACGCGAAGAACCUUACCAAAUCUUGACAUCCUUUGACAACUCUAGAGAUAGAGCCUUCCCCUUCGGGGGACAAAGUGACAGGUGGUGCAUGGUUGUCGUCAGCUCGUGUCGUGAGAUGUUGGGUUAAGUCCCGCAACGAGCGCAACCCUUAAGCUUAGUUGCCAUCAUUAAGUUGGGCACUCUAAGUUGACUGCCGGUGACAAACCGGAGGAAGGUGGGGAUGACGUCAAAUCAUCAUGCCCCUUAUGAUUUGGGCUACACACGUGCUACAAUGGACAAUACAAAGGGCAGCGAAACCGCGAGGUCAAGCAAAUCCCAUAAAGUUGUUCUCAGUUCGGAUUGUAGUCUGCAACUCGACUACAUGAAGCUGGAAUCGCUAGUAAUCGUAGAUCAGCAUGCUACGGUGAAUACGUUCCCGGGUCU
This 1372-nucleotide ribosomal RNA is filed under the name uncultured bacterium. Its description in RNAcentral is "bacterial SSU rRNA". It matches the Rfam family "Bacterial small subunit ribosomal RNA", at positions 28 to 1381 of the family's 1533-position model. The record is from RNAcentral.